Long non-coding RNA from Melospiza melodia melodia, 1742 nucleotides. RefSeq lists it as uncharacterized. Lineage: Eukaryota; Metazoa; Chordata; Aves; Passeriformes; Passerellidae. The transcript has 3 exons. The record is from RefSeq and is a predicted model, not a curated record.
CUCAUCCUAAGAAAAGAACAUCAGGUGGAAAUUGCAGAAGGAACUGUCUGGAGAGUUGUAUUAUUAAUACAUUCCAGAAAUGGAGGAGGUGUGAUGAUUGAUACACAUGGUACACAUCUGCCUGCAAAAGGUUGUAAAGAGCUACUGGACACUGGGAGAACUGGACAAACUGGUCUCCUGAGGUUGCAGGCAGCUUGUGGUGGAUAAUUCCUUCAACAGGGAUGUCUUCAGGAUACAUCCAGCCUGAAGAUGCAGAACACAGUUUUGGAUGGACAUCUACAAAUGAAGCUCUUGAACAGGCUUGAAGGGAAGCUUAAUACUGUUUAACCAUACUGAGGCUUGAACAGCGGGAAAAAAAAACAGUAUGGAAAAAUUUGUCUGUACCUCAGGAUACAGCUGGGAAAACCAAAUCCAAGGUCACAGAGAAGUAACAGCAAAAUAUAUGCUUACAGAUGAAGAUCAUUUAGAGGAAGAAAAAAAAUCAUCACAGCAAAAAUCCUAUUAACAUCUAAGGAAAGGUGGAGAAGACAAGAAAGAGGCACCAUGAUGAAGGAGAUGCACAAGAAAGCUUACUGAAAGACUAGAAAAGGGGUAGAAAGAAACACCUCAAAAAGUUACAAAUAAAGAAGAGAAAGUUUAAAAGGUUUUAAAGGUUUGCUGACAGAUCCAAUAUAUAAGAUCAGAGGGUCCCUCAUGAGACAUAGUUUAAAUCCUCACAGCUUCUGACCAGAGCAUCUUCAACAGAGUUCAAUGGACAGAUUACAGUUGUAGAUAGAAAUGCAAGAAACCUCUGUAUGUGAAGUAACAACAAAAAAGUUAAUAGCUGAAAAAUAUAAUAAGAAAGGCAAAACAUAAUUUUCUGCAAGCAUUAUGCAAUGACACAUAAACUAAACAAAUGUUUAUUGUGCUCCACAGUUUUUAUUGUAUAAUAAAUUUAAAACAUAACUUACUCCUCCAGUAAGGGAAAGUAAACCAAAAACUCAGGGACAUCAACCACUUCUUCCAAGUGAAAAUCAUACUUGCAGCCAAAUAAGGGAUAGUCUCCCUUCUUUUCAAAUUUUACAUUGUACACAUCAUUCCCAAAUGAAUUAGUUUCUGAAGCUUCGAGUCUCUUUCUAUAGAAUGAGAUAUAAACAAACAUUUUUUUAUCAGUAUUGAACAGGCAGAGAAAACUACACAUAAGAAGCAUGAAAGUAUUUCUCCCAGUAAUACUCAGUGAUCUCUCCAGUUUCCCACUUCCCUUAUCUCAAAAGGCACUGAAACAAUGAAAUGAAGCAGCAUACUGGGUUUUAACAGGUUACUAUUCCCAUACAACAUAACAAGGACAAAAUGGACCUAGAAGAUGAAUUUUUAGCCUAGACACACAGACAAUCUACAUGGACAAGACAUGCUUCUAGAAACAACCAUAAAACCUUGACAGUUUUUCCCCAGGCUGUGGAAAUUUUGACACUAUUAAAGUCAUGACAGAGGGAUGAAGUGUAUGAAGACCUGUAUUCCCUAACAGAAGAGCCAUGACGACAUAAGACAAGGAAGGAUGAAAGGAACCACAAACUUCUAAAACUGUGGAGAAGAUGAAUAUUUUCUGUGCUCAAUGUGCUCUGCAUAUAACUUGACUGAGGCUCUGAACCGUUUCCCUGGCUAAGGUAAAACUGCACCUGGCUAAACAACCAUCCUGGACACAGGGAGACAAACAGGGCUCCCUUUCAUUAGCAUUAUAAUGAAUGCAGAUGUUAUUUGAAAGU